This 274-nucleotide ribosomal RNA is filed under the name uncultured bacterium. RNAcentral describes it as "partial 16S ribosomal RNA". It matches the Rfam family "Bacterial small subunit ribosomal RNA", at positions 523 to 796 of the family's 1533-position model. The record is from RNAcentral.
AUACGGAGGGUGCAAGCGUUACUCGGAAUCACUGGGCGUAAAGGACGCGUAGGCGGAUUGGAAAGUCAGAUGUGAAAUCCUACAGCUUAACUGUAGAACUGCAUUUGAAACUUCUAAACUAGAGUAUGGGAGGGGGAGAUGGAAUUAGUGGUGUAGGGGUAAAAUCCGUAGAUAUCACUAGGAAUACCGAAAGCGAAGGCGAUCUCCUGGAACAUAACUGACGCUAAGGCGUGAAAGCGUGGGGAGCAAACGGGAUUAGAAACCCUAGUAGUCC